GAUGAACGCUAGCGCUAGGCUUAACACAUGCAAGUCGAGGGGCAGCAUGGUCUUAGCUUGCUAAGACUGAUGGCGACCGGCGCACGGGUGCGUAACGCGUAUGCAACUUGCCUCACAGAGGGGGAUAACCCGUCGAAAGACGGACUAAUACCGCGUACACUCCAUCUUGGGCAUCCAAGGUAGAGGAACUGAAAUUCGCUGUGAGAUAGGCAUGCGUCCCAUUAGCUCGUUGGUGAGGUAACGGCUCACCAAGGCGACGAUGGGUAGGGGAACUGAGAGGUUGAACCCCCACACUGGUACUGAGACACGGACCAGACGCCUACGGGAGGCAGCAGUGAGGAAUAUGAGUCAAUGGGCGAGAGCCUGAACCAGCCAAGUCGCGUGAAGGAUGACUGUCUUAUGGAUUGUAAACUUCUUUUAUACGGGAAUAACAAGAGUCACGUGUGACUCCCUGCAUGUACCGUAUGAAUAAGCAUCGGCUAACUCCGUG
This 490-nucleotide ribosomal RNA is filed under the name uncultured bacterium. Its description in RNAcentral is "partial 16S ribosomal RNA". It matches the Rfam family "Bacterial small subunit ribosomal RNA", at positions 28 to 507 of the family's 1533-position model. The record is from RNAcentral.